Molecule: ribosomal RNA, 198 nt
Filed under: Triticum aestivum (bread wheat)
Lineage: Eukaryota; Viridiplantae; Streptophyta; Magnoliopsida; Poales; Poaceae
Description: partial small subunit ribosomal RNA
Source: RNAcentral
AUGGCGACAGCGUCAUGGACGGCUCGGAGGCGAGGGCGACGACGCCGUGGACCGCUCCACCUCCUGGUUAUUCUCUGCCCCACGAGCGAAGGGCGAGUCGAUAGCCUCGCGGACGGCUCGGCUUCCUCGUCCAUCUCUCUGUCGCCCGUGCUGGUGAACUCCACCGGUCCAGAUUUGGUCCUCCGACGCCUUGGCUGA